Molecule: microRNA precursor, 72 nt
Filed under: Pteropus vampyrus (large flying fox)
Lineage: Eukaryota; Metazoa; Chordata; Mammalia; Chiroptera; Pteropodidae
Description: miRNA (ENSPVAG00000029071.1)
Source: RNAcentral
AGUCAGCCUGUCCUUUAAAAAUUUGAGGCCAGGCAUUGACUUUUCUCUAGUUAUGAAAGUCCUAGAUGGCAU